Molecule: ribosomal RNA, 227 nt
Filed under: Fusobacterium mortiferum
Lineage: Bacteria; Fusobacteriati; Fusobacteriota; Fusobacteriia; Fusobacteriales; Fusobacteriaceae
Description: partial 16S ribosomal RNA
Rfam family: Bacterial small subunit ribosomal RNA
Source: RNAcentral
GUCUACUUGAUCCUUCGGGUGAUGGUGGCGGACGGGUGAGUAACGCGUAAAGAACUUGCCCUGCAGUCUGGGACAACAUUUGGAAACGAAUGCUAAUACCGGAUAUUAUACGAAUCUUGCAUGAGAUUCGUAUGAAAGCUAUAUGCGCUGCAGGAGAGCUUUGCGUCCUAUUAGCUAGUUGGUGAGGUAACGGCUCACCAAGGCGAUGAUAGGUAGCCGGCCUGAGA